GCCUACGGGACGCAGCAGUCGAGAAUCAUUCACAAUGGGGGAAACCCUGAUGGUGCGACGCCGCGUGGGGGAAAGAAGGUCUUCGGAUUGUAAACCCCUGUCAUGUGGGAGCAAAUUAAAAAGAUAGUACCACAAGAGGAAGAGACGGCUAACUCUGUGCCAGCAGCCGCGGUAAUACAGAGGGCUCAAGCGUUGUUCGGAAUCACUGGGCGUAAAGCGUGCAUAGGCUGUUUCGUCAGUCGUGUGUUAAAGGCGCGGGCGCAACCCGCGGACGGCACA
Molecule: ribosomal RNA, 279 nt
Filed under: uncultured bacterium
Lineage: Bacteria
Description: partial 16S ribosomal RNA
Rfam family: Bacterial small subunit ribosomal RNA
Source: RNAcentral